This 914-nucleotide ribosomal RNA is filed under the name uncultured Nitrososphaerota archaeon. RNAcentral's name for it is "bacterial SSU rRNA". It matches the Rfam family "Archaeal small subunit ribosomal RNA", at positions 1 to 922 of the family's 1478-position model. The record is from RNAcentral. Lineage: Archaea; Thermoproteati; Nitrososphaerota.
UUCCGGUUGAUCCUGCCAGACCUGACUGCUAUCGGAUUGAUACUAAGCCAUGCGAGUCAUUGUAGCAAUACAAGGCAGACGGCUCAGUAACGCGUAGUCAACCUACCCUAUGGACGGGAAUAACCUCGGGAAACUGAGAAUAAUGCCCGAUAGAACAUUAUGCCUGGAAUGGUUUAUGUUCCAAAUGAUUUAUCGCCGUAGGAUGGGACUGCGGCCUAUCAGUUUGUUGGUGAGGUAAUGGCCCACCAAGACUAUUACAGGUACGGGCUCUGAGAGGAGUGGCCCGGAGAUGGGUACUGAGACACGGACCCAGGCCCUAUGGGGCGCAGCAGGCGAGAAAACUUUGCAAUGUGCGAAAGCACGACAAGGUUAAUCCGAGUGGUUUCUGCUAAAGGAACCUUUUGACAGUCCUAGAAACACUGUUGAAUAAGGGGUGGGCAAGUUCUGGUGUCAGCCGCCGCGGUAAAACCAGCACCUCAAGUGGUCAGGAUGAUUAUUGGGCCUAAAGCAUCCGUAGCCGGCUCUGUAAGUUUUCGGUUAAAUCUAUACGCUCAACGUAUAGGCUGCCGGGAAUACUGCAGAGCUAGGGAGUGGGAGAGGUAGACGGUACUCGGUAGGAAGGGGUAAAAUCCUUUGAUCUAUUGAUGACCACCUGUGGCGAAGGCGGUCUACCAGAACACGUCCGACGGUGAGGGAUGAAAGCUGGGGGAGCAAACCGGAUUAGAUACCCGGGUAGUCCCAGCUGUAAACUAUACAAACUCAGUGAUGCAUUGGCUUGUGGCCAAUGCAGUGCUGCAGGGAAGCCGUUAAGUUUGCCGCCUGGGAAGUACGUACGCAAGUAUGAAACUUAAAGGAAUUGGCGGGGGAGCACCACAAGGGGUGAAGCCUGCGGUUCAAUUGGAGUCAACGCCGGA